GCCUCACUCACCGGAGCCGGCCACCACUAGCAGCCUGAGGGGAGGCGUCCGCCGGUCGUGGCGUCUCCUCGCCAGGAGCACAAAGGGGACGAGCAGCAAGGGCGGCAGCAGCAGCAGGAGGAAGAAGGCCCCGGUGCUGCCCGGCGGCGGGAACCACGGCUGCAUGGCGCAGCCCGACCGCCCGCCGCUCCGCGCGGAAGCGCCUCGCGGCAGACGGCGGCCGACGCGGCCCAAACCUCCCCGCGGCCGCACGAGAGCCGGGGGCAGCAGGGCGCCGAGGGGCUGAGGCGGAGCGGGGCCGGGUGCCGGCGUGGGCGGUGCUUGCGCGCGGCAGGGGCUGCCCCGGCACCGCCGGACCGCGGGAGCGGACAGCGAUGCGCGCAGUCCCGCGCCCGUCCUCAGCGUGCGCCGCGCUCGCGCCUGCAUGGCUCGGGAGCCGCGUGCCGCGUACCGCUGCCCAGCCUCUGACGCGCGCGGAGCGCAGGCCGGCCGGCACGCAGGAGUAGGCUUUGUCCAGGUAUGUACGCACAGGCGGAACUGGCGCUCGCAUAGCGUGCGUGAAGUAGGAGUAGUAAUGUUUUACUGCCGCUCGCGGAUCUCGGUUUGAUUUGUUCAAAUCCCUGUAUUUUUGUAAGAAGCGUGCGGCACCAGAUCUGCAUUCUUCCCAUCUCUGCAGCGUCAGCACUGUGGGGAACGUUGCGAUGGCUCAGUAUAGGACUGAGGCGAGGGUUACUGUAGUUGAUAAAGCGAGGAUUGCAUUUGGCGAUUAGGGAAGAGGCACCUCUAACAGAGCCAUCCUUCAGCCUAGCAGGUAGGAUGAGAGCACUCCACUUGGUGCGGUCCGACACCACGGCUUUGUGGGCGGCGUGUCAGACAUGUGCCCGUAGCGGCUGUGUGCUCCCAGCUCUCACCUCGAGAGACACAGGAGGUCCAGCGCUGCAGUGUUAGCCUCGCAAGCUGGACAGUUCUCUCUCAUUUGUCACAAAAACGUGUGCCAGCCAUGGGCUCGAGUAACUGCUGCGUCAUUUACAAAUAAGGUGUGUGCUUGCCAGCUACCAACUGCCAGUGUAGGAGCCGAGUGAAUCCUCCUGACUCAUGUCCAGCAGUCCUUCAUGCUAUGUGUUGCCCUUUCCUACAUCAGUGUAACGUGUAAUUAGGCAGUUGUCUGAAGCAGACUAUUAAAGGUAUUGCCAUAGAAUGGUUUUUCACUCAGAUGAGUAACUUGCUUGUAGACAGCCUCACAAAAGCAAUUGCUACUUAAUCAUCACUGACAUUUGGAAACAGCAAGGCUUUAAUUAAUAGUUCUGUUGUGAUGCAUAAAUCUCAAAAAUUAUUUUGCUUUCCACUUCAUUAGCUUCAUAAAACUAAUAAUUAGGAACAAUAGAGAUACAUGACCUUAAAUCACAGAAGAAAGGAAGAAAACACUAUGGUCCUCUUUUGGAAAAUAACUACUAUGUUAAAACAAGUUAGUAAGUUCUACAGGCAAUUUAAUUCUAAUUUUGUCUGUUUUGAUAUCUUUCUCCUCUUACAUUUUUUUAGUGAAAAUAAUGUCCUUAAUGUAAAACAUAUCCCGGAUUACUACAGGGAGUGUAGACAGCAACUGUUUUUACUUAAUAACUUCUUUUUCCAGGGCUUUUCUUACAGCUUCCCUUUGCUCUAUUUUUUUUUUUUUUCCUACUGUAAGAAGUGCUAAGGAACUGCCAUUUGGGCUUUGUAUUCAGAAAAACAGUCUUGAAAUCUUGGCAGCAGAAAGUAAUAUGAAAAACUUGAAAAACUUAUUUUCAUCUUUUUGUAGUAUUUCCCCUGUAUAUGUAUACUCCUUUCUAUGCUGAAUACCUCUGUGAGGAAGUUUUGGUGAAAUUCAUUAAAACCUGUUGUAAGCCCUGUAAAAUUGGAAGAUUUAUGUGUUUGGUUGGUUGGUUGGUUGAGCAAGUUGUUUAGAAACAAGAGGAAAAGGUAAGAGUGAUACAUACCUGUUCCUUGAUUAGGAAACCGAGGAUCUGAUGAUUUCUUGGAUACAAAGCAAAGAUGCUGGGUUUCAGGGAGUCUGGAAAGGUAACCAUAAGCUCCUAGGACAAGUGCUGGAAAUCUUAGUCAUUGGGAAUUCUGCUUGAAUAUCAGAUAUAGCUUUCAAGUAGCACAUGCUACAACCGAUUGCAAAGCUUGAGGGAAGAGUUAGAGUUUGGUGAGGCUGCUUUAAAUGACUGUUUAAAGACAACAGACAAUCUGCAACCUGCAAACCUAAAGCUUUCAGAUGUUUUAUUCUAUUCUUUUUGAAAGCUUAGUAGAGCGAGCCUGUAAAGAUGUCAUCUGCAGUGUAACACUGCUAAUUAUGUCUUUUGUUUUUCAGUAGGAGUUUUUUUUUUAUUGUUUUCAGUGUGUUUGUGUUCUUUCAUAUCACAGCAACUCCCUGCUUACAGGCAGUGUCCUGGAGCAGGAAAAUAGCAGACUCAGUCCUGUAGGAGUUAAGUAGCUCAAUAGAUGGAGCGGGCAGGUUGCUCUCCAUUUGGCUGUGCUGCACGUGCAGUCAUCAGUUCCCACCUGUCCAAGUGCCUUGAGAAUGCUUUGUCUCAGCAUUGGACAUGUAUAGGAAAGUUAAUAAUAGAAAGCAGCAACUGUCCUGGAGAUUAGCAUAUUGUGGUCACAUUGACAACUUGUGUUGUUCAGAAAACAUUUUGCUUUCGGUGCCUUCCUAGAUAAAUAUUUUUUAAAUUCCUUGUCCAUUUGUUGAGGUUUGUUCAGGUUGUUCAGUCUACAAUUUUUACUCCAAAGUAACUUACAGGUAGGGUAAGUAGAUGAGGAGAUUCUGGACAAAAUCUCCAUAUAGCAUUCCUAGAGUUUAAUGAUAUUACAUUACAACAAAAAUUCUCGGACUAGAAGGCUUGCUCAGGAGAUUCUUGCCAGCCCCAGGGGACGUGUACCACACAUACUUCCUGAACCUGCUUUCUUAAAUGUGGUCAUUUCGCUGUGUUCUGCCUUAGAAUAGAGCUCCACAGACAUCUCCGUAAUUGUGGGGUAAACUACCAGAACAGUUCGAGGUUGGGUGAGGAAAAGGGCAGGAACCUGUCAGCCAGGCUUUGCCACUGGAAAGACUUCCCUGUGGGACAGUUUAUCGUGUUAAACCUCAGUCAUGUUAUACAUCUAAAUAUUCUCAGUUUCUGCAGGAUAGUUCUGUAUGUGAAGUGAUUUGGAAGACAAAAUGUUCUAUAAGUGAGCAAUUUCUGCAGAAAACUUUUUUUUUUUACGUGCUUCCAAUGUUAUUUAGAAACAUAAGGAGAAGUGAUACUGUGUUCUCUGGUUAGAGAAAAAACUUCUGACUGGGUUCCUAGUUAUUCUUUUCUCAUACUAGAACUGUAGAGCUGUAUCUGGAAGAUUUUAGUGCAAUACCAGCAUCAUGAAUGCUGUGACAAAUUCUGCUGUUGGGAACAGAAGGGAUGUUAAGUUUGUGAACUAGAGUGCUGUGCACCAGCUGGGGACAAGGUGGAGCAGGCAGCUGGUCGGUGUCCAAGUGAGAGGUGACCUCACGUGAUGGCAGCACGAGGGUUUAUCAGAGUCAGUCUGGCAAAAUUCAUCCCUUUUAGCUGCACUUACUUCCAAUUCCUUUAUUUGAACGAGGUUUACUUUUACUUUUUUGUGAGUCAGAAACUUAAAAAGAUGCUAUCACUGCAAUUAUAGUAACUCAAUCUUAGGAGCCCUGGUUAGUAUUUGGGAUCAAUAAUAUCUGUAAUAUUUAUGUUCACAAUACAGUUAGUGCCGCGCUUCCUGGCAUAACAGCACUUCUCAUAUAUAUUUAAGAUGUUUCUCAUUUGUUUAAACACAAAGAAAAAACUUUUCAAGUACUUGAACAGUGCUUGACCCCACUGGCUGAAAAGAUGGAACAAAAUCUCUCAAAUAAUGAGAUUAAUUCUCUGUUAAAAUUGUCUUCUUUCUCCCAUUCAUGUUUGCCAUUCUUUCCAUUUUAAUUUCCAGUAGUGUGCUCUGGUGUCUAACGCUGCCAUAGGUGACAGACAACAAGUGGUUGUUAGCUUACAACAGCUAAAUAAGGAAGGUCUCCUUCCCUCCAGCUGCCUACAGAUUUUACGUUUCCCUAGAAAUAUCCAGAUUUCCCUUUCUGACUGUGACAAAUCUCUGUAUGUAGUCUGUGGGAAUGGGUGGGAGGGAAGAGGCUGCUUAUGGAAGUCUCUGUGGGCCUAAGUACCACCUAUGAAUUUUCAAUCAAAGUAGCAACUUGUAGGGGAAAAGUUUUCCUGUGAUGGGCACGAGGUACACUGCUACCAGAUGUUCUGUCAGCCCCGUCUGACAGCACACCAGAGAGCUGGUCCCAUUGCUCUAAUGACCCCAUAUUUGGUAGCAGUGCGAAUGCGUUCUGAGCGUGGUUUUAGGAAGCAUGAACAUUGAUAGUAUACAGCACCAAAAUUGCAUACUGCAACUUGCCCUGAUUACUGGUUAGUAUGCUUAGGGAGUGGUCCUGCAAUGUAAUGUAAACUCGUGUUCUUUGAUCUAUUAAAAGUGUUGGGAGAAAGAGACUAUUGUUUCACAGCUCAGAAGUACUGAGCAGCCUGGAGGUCAUCGGGUGCCUCUGGCUGCUCAGCCUGGAGAAAUAAGCCCCCCCACCCACCCCUUUCUUGUUUGGAUAUAUUUAUAUUUCUAAAAGUAAGUUUGGAGCCUGAUAAUACCUUCCUGGAAAUCUGUUUUCAAGUCCACUUAUAAUGUAAAAAGGAAUUUUCAGCAUUUUCAUUCAGGUGAGGUUGUAGGAUUCUCUUCCCGUUUCCCACUUCACUAUGACUGGUGAGUUCCCAUGGAUUUGUGAGCAGAAUGUGGGGGCACACAUUUGCUUUGCUUUCUCUGGAUCCCUGCUGCCAGGAGAAAAUUGGCCAUUGCUAAUGCUGCUGGUGGAGGGAGACAGCCUUACCCAUGACCUCAUCCAUCAGCUUGCAUCAGCACAUUUCUCAUCCUCUCAGGCUGGAAAUCUCAGGCUUGGGUGAUGCUGAUGGCAUCUCAGGUCUGUCUGUAGGUUCCAGUACUCUGCCCUCAGCAUGUUCAGGCUGUAGAAAAAUGCCUCUCACCCUUUUAUGCUCUCUCCAUCCCCUGCUUAUGAAGAUAUGAAAUGUAAUGCCCUCCACAGUAAAGAUGGGUUCCUGAGGUGAAAGAGGAAAGGUUUUUGAGCUGUUUAGAUUUCUGAAGAUCUGCACUGAAUUAGCAAAAUGCUGGAGCUGGAGAAAAAAAUGGUCAUAUGAAGAAGGAAGAUGUGCACUGGGUUUUGUUCUGUGCUGUAUUUAGUUCUUGUUUCUCUCCCUCCCCUUUUCGUUGUGUCUUUACAGUUAUACUUUAAAAUGUCAUUUAUUGACAGUUGUUUUGGGGAUGCUGCCAGGUAUGGCUGGAGGUCUGGGGAUUGGUCCAGAUCCUGUUAAAGGCAAUUUAGUGUCAUGGCUCCAUGAGCUCUCCAUGGAAAUUGAAUUCUUUGUAGAUUUACAAAGACUGGUCAAGUUAUUUUAGUUUGUACAAGUCUGCAUUGAUGUUGUAAGAGAAUAUAUUAAAAAUUUGGAAUCUGCCAUUCCUUCUAUUGCUUUUUUCUGUUUUCUUACAAACAUGUAAGAUGUGAAGUCCAGCAAACUAUUAAUGAAAAGUUCUCACAGUUAACAAUCUGGAUAGAACCAAAUAACUUGCCUUCUGCACGACGCUAAGUCUUCAAUUAUGUGAUCAAUACACCAUUUAAAAACAGGUAAUCUUCAUUCUUUUUUUCCAUCAACCUCAGGUGAUGCAUAAUGCUCUUCUCUCAAUAAAUAAAUGAGUUGGGAAAUUAUGCACAAUUUGCAUCAACUGUUGUGAAUUUAAUGCACGUGCCAAUGAGGGUUGGUCUGUUCCUGUUGGUGAGAAUUAAACAAUGAUAAUGAGACAAUUGCUUAGAGCUAAGAAAUUACGUUAAGUAUGUCGCUGACUGAGUAUUAACGUAUGACUGAAAAGAAUAACGACUUAUGCUUGUGAAGACACUCAGGAGAUGUCACGGGAGCUCCUGAUUUACUAAUGCUGGAUUAAAGACAAGUAAAAAAACCAGAAUUUCAAAAUAGAGAUCUUGCAUGUGAUUUCAUAUUGUUUGAAAAACACUUUGAAGACAAAUCACGUUUUCUUUUCUUCUGGACCUUUGUGUCUGAAGACUGGUUUGAUGGAGAUCCCAGCAGUUUUUACACAGAAAUUAGCCAUGCCAAGACUGUGUCUGCAUACCGAAAUAUUUUUGUUUUGCAUCUAAUUGAGAAACCAUCAGGUAAACUGCAAUCGCCUUUCAAAAGUACUGUCUGUGGGAAGAACAGUUUGUUCAAAACGACACGGAGAAGUUACUGGCCCUGGAAUUCCCUUCCCCUGUGUUUGUUUUGGUAGUUAAGAUCAGCACCAGGAGAAGCCGUGAUUCUGGCAACUUCCCCAGCAUUGAUGGGGAAUGUGUUCUCUUCCAGAUUAUUUUUUAUUGUUGCAGUAUGCAGGAAUUGUUGGGACAGGUGCUGUACAAAAGUAAGAUGUCCCUGUUUUAAGGAGAUAUAAUUUUUGUUUAUUUAAAGAAAAACUAAUUAUGCAAAGAGCAGUGUGUUGCCUGGCUUCUUGUAUUUUCUUUAGGACAACCUGACAAGUAAGUGUUUGUUUAGUGCCCAGACUGCCUACAUUUGUGAUGAUCAGAUGUGCUGAGUUCUGAACAUGGUGCACUUGCUGCACGGUGAGCCUGCUGCAUGCAGUGGGUCCAACGCUCGCUGUGUGCGCGUGGAGUGCAGCGUGACCACAACAUCCCUGACCUGUGUGUGGCACAAUGCACGUGUGGGCCUUGGGGCUGGAACAUCUGUCCUUGUACACACGGCCUGCUGCCCAAGACAGCUUGGAUGUGAAGGCUCUUACUGUCAGUGGGAUGCUCUUGUUUCUGCUGGGCAGAGUUUCCACAUAGAAAAAGAAGACAUUGCCAGAGGAACUCCAGAUGUGUAACACUCGUAACUCUGCAAAUCAAAUGAACAAGUGCUGAAAUGUAGCUUCUUUGUGAAGAUCCAGUAGUAUUAUUGUAUCAAAGUGUGUAUGUGCUCAAUAAAACAAGAAUAAACGUACAAUGCUGGACAAGAAACAGUGGUGUUGUAAUUGGUGAAUAUUUCCAGAAAAAUGGCUUUGUAUACAAUAAUUACACAGUAUAUUUGGUGCAAUUCACAAAGAGACUUUUCAAACUCAUUUACAAUGUUUACAUGUUAUGUUUUUACGUUGAAACUUCCACCUUAGCUUUACUUAUACAUAUUACAUAGACAAUUAGAUUAUUUUUCCUGUUUUCUUAACUCAUUGUUUAUUAUCUUUGUGUUUUAUAUUCAGUUUCUUUCCUAAUAUUUGUAGAUAUUUGAGUAAGUCAAUCAGAGUGAGUGCUGUUUGUCAGUAAAAAUGUUUAUGGUGUUUGAAUAGUGUUGGUGGAAAUGGAAGCCCAAAAAACUUUCCCCACUGGGUCUGAAAGGGAAGCUUUAGUUCUGUGUUUCAGCAUGAAAUGAUGUAAAUCCAGUGUUUCUUCUCUUUUUAUAUCUUUCUUACCAGGGCUGCUGUUUAGAUAAGAGAUUUGCAAGUUACAGGACAGCAUGAACUCCUUCACAUGACCGGGACUGCGCAGGGACUUGUUUGAAAUAAUGUGCAGAUCAAGGCUGUAGACAGAAUGAAAAUCUCCAAACCUGCUGGUAGCAAUGGAAACUAAGAAUUAAAUUCUAGGUAAGAAGCUAAUAAUUGGUAAGAAUGCCAAUACAAAUUUGUUUUAAAUAAAUUACAGUGUUAACAAUUCCACAAGCAACAUUUUUGCAAAAAGAUAUUAUCAGCAAAAAUAAAGAGUGGUUCAUUCUAGGGCUUAGAAACAGAUACAUUUAGGACAUAAAGUAUACUUUCUUUAGAAGCAAGGUAUUAUCCCCAUUAAUAUUUACCCCCCAAAAAAAGAAAUUUAAAAGAUUUUGAUAUGUAAGAUAUCAAUUUAAAUAUCAUGUUGCUUUCUGAAAAGUUUACAGCUAUUGCAAAUAUUAUUCAAUAUUGUAUUAGCAAACCAUGUAGAAAAAGAUUUUUUAAAAUUUAUUCAGGAUUUUUAAAAUGGACUUCAAUUGCAUUUAGGCAUAAGUAAUGUGUAUGCAGGAGGUUUUGUUAUUUCUUUGUGCUGCUGAGUAAUUUUCCUUCAUUUCCCCAAGAAUCACAGAUCAACAAAGGGUGGAAAAUUCAGGGAAAAUUGUAGAUAUGCUUUUGUAAAAUCUUAAAAAUUGACCAAAAUAGUCAGGAGGAGCUGUAUCGUCUGACAAAACUAUGUAACAUUUUCAGAUUAAAGAUAUUUUAAUGUCAGAUACAUUGUAAACCAAUCUUUUUGCACCAUGGUGCAUUCUGAAAGAGGCCCAGUUGGAUGUGGGGCAGCUGCUAUGGCGUGUGCCAAAGCUAAGGCGGAUCUAUGUGAGGCUUAGAAGCUGUCUUUAGCAUGCAGAUGAGUAAUACUGUCCCAAGUGUGCAUUCUCCCUCAUUACCUGAUGUGCUGCUUCUGAACAUCUGAUGCUGUCAUGUACAGCAAAAUACCUAGGGUGAACACUUGGUUUUAUUCUCUACUUAAAUUAUGCUAAUUUUAAUUAACAGUCUGCAUAUUAAAGAGGCAUUGCUUUCUGACCCUUUGCAUGUUGAAUAGCUGGGAAAUAAUUUGCUUGGUUGUGGUGCUUCUAGGCUCCAAUUUCAUGCUUUUCAAUCGCAUGCCAUUACAAAGUACAUCUCCCAUUUUCUGCUGUUCUGACAUCACCAAAUUCCAG
RNAcentral lists this long non-coding RNA (8771 nucleotides) under Gallus gallus (chicken). The record is from RNAcentral. Lineage: Eukaryota; Metazoa; Chordata; Aves; Galliformes; Phasianidae.